AAUGCCUAGGAAUCUGCCUGGUAGUGGGGGAUAACGUUCGGAAACGGACGCUAAUACCGCAUACGUCCUACGGGAGAAAGCAGGGGACCUUCGGGCCUUGCGCUAUCAGCUGAGCCUAGGUCGGAUUAGCUAGUUGGUGAGGUAAUGGCUCACCAAGGCGACGAUCCGUAACUGGUCUGAGAGGAUGAUCAGUCACACUGGAACUGAGACACGGUCCAGACUCCUACGGGAGGCAGCAGUGGGGAAUAUUGGACAAUGGGCGAAAGCCUGAUCCAGCCAUGCCGCGUGUGUGAAGAAGGUCUUCGGAUUGUAAAGCACUUUAAGUUGGGAGGAAGGGCAUUAACCUAAUACGUUAUUGUUUUGACGUUACCGACAGAAUAAGCACCGGCUAACUCUGUGCCAGCAGCCGCGGUAAUACAGAGGGUGCAAGCGUUAAUCGGAAUUACUGGGCGUAAAGCGCGCGUAGGUGGUUUGUUAAGUUGGAUGUGAAAUCCCCGGGCUCAACCUGGGAACUGCAUUCAAAACUGACUGACUAGAGUAUGGUAGAGGGUGGUGGAAUUUCCUGUGUAGCGGUGAAAUGCGUAGAUAUAGGAAGGAACACCAGUGGCGAAGGCGACCACCUGGACUAAUACUGACACUGAGGUGCGAAAGCGUGGGGAGCAAACAGGAUUAGAUACCC
RNAcentral lists this ribosomal RNA (679 nucleotides) under Pseudomonas sp. RNAcentral's name for it is "bacterial SSU rRNA". It matches the Rfam family "Bacterial small subunit ribosomal RNA", at positions 112 to 787 of the family's 1533-position model. The record is from RNAcentral. Lineage: Bacteria; Pseudomonadati; Pseudomonadota; Gammaproteobacteria; Pseudomonadales; Pseudomonadaceae.